UAAAGGUUUGGUCCUGGCUUUGCUAUCAACUCCUACUAGAUUUACACAUGCAAGUAUCCGCACACCCGUGAGAAUGCCCUAAUAGUUCCCUAGUAAGGGAACAAGGAGCUGGUAUCAGGCACAAACACUUUUUAGCCCACAACACCUUGCUUAGCCACACCCUCAAGGGAAUUCAGCAGUGAUAAACAUUAAGCCAUAAGUGAAAACUUGACUUAGUUAAAGUUAUUAGGGCCGGUAAAACUCGUGCCAGCCACCGCGGUUAUACGAGAGGCCCAAGUUGAUAGAUUUCGGCGUAAAGCGUGGUUAUGAAACAACUAAUACUAAGACCGAAUACUUUUAGUACUGUUAUACGUAUUCAAAAGUUAGAAGCUCAACUACGAAGGUGGUCUUAACUAGAAUUUGAAGCCACGAAAGCUACGAAACAAACUGGGAUUAGAUACCCCACUAUGCCUAGCCGUAAACAUUGAUAGUUUAAUACAUCUACUAUCCGCCUGGGUACUACAAGCACUAGCUUAAAACCCAAAGGACUUGGCGGUGCUUUAGAUCCACCUAGAGGAGCCUGUUCUAUAACCGAUAAUCCCCGUCCAACCUCACCUUUCCUUGUUUAUCCCGCCUAUAUACCGCCGUCGUCAGCUUACCCUGUGAAGGGCUAAUAGUAAGCAAAAUUGGUACAACCCAAAAUGUCAGGUCGAGGUGUAGCGUAUGGAAAGGGAAGAAAUGGGCUACAUUCCCUUAAUUAAGGGAAUACGAAUUAUGUACUGAAACGUACAUUUGAAGGAGGAUUUAGCAGUAAGUAGGAAAUAGAGUGUUCUACUGAAACUGGCCCUGAAGCGCGCACACACCGCCCGUCACUCUCCCCAAAUUUACCUAAUAUAAUAAUUAAUACAAUUUAACUGCAAAGGGGAGGCAAGUCGUAACAUGGUAAGUGUACCGGAAGGUGCACUUGGAAUAAU
RNAcentral lists this non-coding RNA (953 nucleotides) under Inimicus japonicus (devil stinger). Its description in RNAcentral is "12S ribosomal RNA". It matches the Rfam family "Bacterial small subunit ribosomal RNA". Lineage: Eukaryota; Metazoa; Chordata; Actinopteri; Perciformes; Synanceiidae. The record is from RNAcentral.